UACAGAGGGUGCAAGCGUUAAUCGGAAUUACUGGGCGUAAAGCGUGCGCAGGCGGUUUGCUAAGACAGGUGUGAAAUCCCCGGGCUUAACCUGGGAACUGCGCUUGUAACUAGCAGGCUAGAGUGUGGCAGAGGGGGGUGGAAUUCCAGGUGUAGCAGUGAAAUGCGUAGAUAUCAAGAGGAACCCCUGCGGCGAAGGCGGGUUGCUGGGCCGACACUGACGCUGAGGCGCGAAAGCUAGGGGAGCGAACGGG
This 253-nucleotide ribosomal RNA is filed under the name uncultured bacterium. RNAcentral describes it as "partial 16S ribosomal RNA". It matches the Rfam family "Bacterial small subunit ribosomal RNA", at positions 524 to 776 of the family's 1533-position model. The record is from RNAcentral.